Long non-coding RNA from Equus caballus (horse), 1538 nucleotides. NCBI's taxonomy places the organism in Eukaryota, Metazoa, Chordata, Mammalia, Perissodactyla, Equidae. The record is from Ensembl.
CUGUGAGGAGCCCGGGUGUUGACAAGAGAGCCUGGAAGCCUGUUGAGCAGGUGGCUGUGUAUUGGCCCCACCUGGUAUGCUUCACCCCUCAGAAGACUUUAGCUUCUGAAUCACUGGGGGCAGCAUCAUUCCUUUUCCCACAUAAUGGUCUUCCUCUCAAUGGCAGUUAAAAGAGGCCGACACCACAGGAGGUCUGCAGGAUUGCAUGUAAAACUUCUGAAAGAAGACUCCAGAUUUUUGUAGAUGGUUUCUAUCUUUGGGAUCCCCCAGAAGCAGACCCUAAAAUAAAGAUUUGGAUGGAGGGUAUUCAUUUCAGAGGUGAUUCCAGGAGACAUGGUGAGGGAGUAGGCAAAUGAGACAGAGAAAACAAAACCCCGGAAAGUUUGCAUUAAUGAGCAGGUUCCUGCUGUGGGCACCUGGGGUCUAAUCCCACUGUGGGUCCUCUGAGAAACUUCGGAGAACAUCCCUCAGAAUUGUGCCACCGGGAGACGAGGAAGUUAGGGUAUUUAUCUACAAACUUCUGCCCUCUUUGGUUGAAGGUGGAUCCCAGGUGUCAACUCCCUUGCACCUCCAGCCAGCCCUGUGCACAAGAAAAGGCCCUCAGACAGAAGCAGGAGACCUUCAGCAGUGGAGGGAAUUGUCGUCAGCUGAGUUCCAUGUUGGGCACCGUCAACGUUACUUAUUGUCUUCUUUCCGAGAGGCGUGAACAGAGAUCCUUUUCUAAUGUGCAGUUUAAAGAUAUGUAACACGUUAAUCUUUGGAAGCUUUGAAAAUUAAAUGUGUUUUUCCCACUCUCUUCUCCCACUGCUUCUCACGGUUAACUUAAUCUGGAGGAAGAUCCGCUCAUGGAAUCCUGAGCUGCUGUCACCAUGCACGGGUUUGUAGUCCUCUCCACAGGAAGCACUUGGCCCCUCAUGCCCUGAAUUUCCAGUUCUUCAUCGACAGACUGCAGCAGGAUGGCAUCGACAGAAAAAUUGGGCUCACAGGCCCACAGAAGAUCCACUCUUUCUCCCAAUCACUUCGGAAACAACUUUUUAGAGUCUUUGGAAAGAAAAAACAUUUAAUUUUUCCUUCCCAUUGAGAGGAAACUCUUUUUUAAAAAAUAAAAAUUGCUUAUAUUUAAGGUGUAUACCAUAGUGAUUUGAUAUACUUACACCUAACGAAGUGUCAUAGUGAAAUGUCCUGUCAAGCUAAUUAACACAGCAUCUCCUCACAGAGUUACCGAUUUGUGGUGUGUGUAUGUGGUGAGAGGGCCUGAAUCUACUCUUAGCAAAUUUCCAGUAUUCAGUACAGUAUUAUUAAACUAUAGUGACUAUUGGAUCUCUAGAUGUAUUCAUCCUACAUAACUGUAACUUUGUGCCUUUGACCAACAUCCCAUUUCCCCCACUUCGCCUCCCCUGGUAACCACCAUUCUACUCCCUGCUUCUGUAUAUUUAACCGUUUUAGAUUCCACAUAUAAGUGAGGUCAUGCAGCUUUUUCCUUUCUAUGUCUGGCUUAUUUCACUUAGCAUAAUGUCCUCCGUGUUGUUGCAAAUCGC